CUACCGAGCAGAGUUGCUCACUGUGGGGUGCUGCCGGCUCCGCAGGUGCCCCACCUGCGCAGCUCGCGCCCCGCCCGCCACCUUCCCUGAGUGCUCUGAGCUGCAGGUUCUGCGCCCCGCUAGCCCCUCAGCCGCUCGCCCCUGGCUAUGGUCACUCACUCACUGUCCGGGACACCUUCAACUCCUUGUUGAGCCACUGGCACAGGAUCUCCGACAUGGUUCAGCAGGUGCCUCAGACCGCAGGCGGGUGCUAAGAAACUCGCCAGGAACCAAGCCCGCCCUCCCGCGUCCUCCUGUUGCCAAGGGCAACCCUUUGCUAAGGAAGCGUAUCCUGGCUGGAACUAGACGAAAGGCAUAGAGAAGAGGGGACGCCAGGGCUCAGCCGCAGACGACAGAAAAUCGUGUUCCGCCACCUGCUGGCGGAUAUUGCAUUUUUCACAAGUUGAAGGUUUGCGGCAAACCUGCACUGAGCAAAGUCUACAGAUGGAUCUCUUUUCAGAUUAAAUUCCCGCUAAGCUCACCAAAUAGUUUCUAUUAAAGACACCUGGGGAAUCUUCAAAGACCAGAUAUCAGGGUUCAGUUUGCCCUGUGACCUCAUUUUUCUGAUGGAUACAAGAAAAAUAAUUGGUUUUCAGUUUGUGCAGUGUUUCCCUUGUUGUAAGACUGGAAGUGACAUUGCCGAGAUUGUUACAUGUCAGAGGUAAAACCUGAAGUCCUAAAGUGAACUUUUAAUAAAAGAAAUAUGAUCAUA
This is a non-coding RNA of Macaca mulatta (Rhesus monkey), 751 nucleotides long. The record is from RefSeq and is a predicted model, not a curated record. NCBI's taxonomy places the organism in Eukaryota, Metazoa, Chordata, Mammalia, Primates, Cercopithecidae.